UACGGAGGGUGCAACCGUUGCUCGGAAUCAUUGGGCGUAAAGCGCACGUAGGUGGCCUGUUACGUCGGGUGUGAAAUCCCUGGGCUCAACCCAGGAAGUGCACUCGAAACUGGCGGGCUUGAGUACUGAAGAGGGUCGCGGAAUUCCCGGUGUAGAGGUGAAAUUCGUAGAUAUCGGGAGGAACACCAGUGGCGAAGGCGGCGACCUGGGCAGAUACUGACACUGAGGUGCGAAAGCGUGGGGAGCAAACAGG
Molecule: ribosomal RNA, 253 nt
Filed under: uncultured bacterium
Lineage: Bacteria
Description: partial 16S ribosomal RNA
Rfam family: Bacterial small subunit ribosomal RNA
Source: RNAcentral